This 440-nucleotide ribosomal RNA is filed under the name uncultured bacterium. RNAcentral describes it as "partial 16S ribosomal RNA". It matches the Rfam family "Bacterial small subunit ribosomal RNA", at positions 338 to 795 of the family's 1533-position model. The record is from RNAcentral.
CCUACGGGAGGCAGCAGUGGGGAAUAUUGCACAAUGGGGGAAACCCUGAUGCAGCGACGCCGCGUGAGUGAAGAAGUAAUUCGUUAUGUAAAGCUCUAUCAGCAGGGAAGAAAAUGACGGUACCUGAGUAAGAAUCCCCGGCUAACUACGUGCCAGCAGCCGCGGUAAUACGUAGGGGGCAAGCGUUAUCCGGAUUUACUGGGUGUAACGGGAGCGUAGACGGCAGUGCAAGUCAGGAGUGAAAGGCGGGGGCUCAACCCCCGGACUGCUCUGGAAACUGUACGGCUGGAGUGCAGGAGAGGUAAGUGGAAUUCCUAGUGUAGCGGUGAAAUGCGUAGAUAUUAGGAGGAACACCAGUGGCGAAGGCGGCUUACUGGACUGUAACUGACGUUGAGGCGCGAAAGCGUGGGGAGCAAACAGGAUUAGAUACCCUAGUAGUC